RNAcentral lists this ribosomal RNA (390 nucleotides) under uncultured bacterium. Its description in RNAcentral is "bacterial SSU rRNA". It matches the Rfam family "Bacterial small subunit ribosomal RNA", at positions 30 to 414 of the family's 1533-position model. The record is from RNAcentral.
AUUGAACGCUGGCGGCAGGCCUAACACAUGCAAGUCGAACGGUAACAGGAAGCAGCUUGCUGCUUUGCUGACGAGUGGCGGACGGGUGAGUAAUGUCUGGGAAACUGCCUGAUGGAGGGGGAUAACUACUGGAAACGGUAGCUAAUACCGCAUAACGUCGCAAGACCAAAGAGGGGGGACCUUCGGGCCUCUUGCCAUCGGAUGUGCCCAGAUGGGAUUAGCUAGUAGGUGGGGUAACGGCUCACCUAGGCGACGAUCCCUAGCUGGUCUGAGAGGAUGACCAGCCACACUGGAACUGAGACACGGUCCAGACUCCUACGGGAGGCAGCAGUGGGGAAUAUUGCACAAUGGGCGCAAGCCUGAUGCAGCCAUGCGCGUGUAUGAAGAAGG